GAUGAACGCUGGCUACAGGCUUAACACAUGCAAGUCGAGGGGAAACGACGGGGAAGCUUGCUUCCCCGGGCGUCGACCGGCGCACGGGUGAGUAACGCGUAUCCAACCUGCCUCUGACUGAGGGAUAACCCGUCGAAAGUCGGCCUAAUACCUCAUGGUAUCGUCUGCGGGCAUCCAACGACGAUUAAAGAUUUCAUCGGUCAGGGAUGGGGAUGCGUCUGAUUAGCUUGUUGGCGGGGUAACGGCCCACCAAGGCUACGAUCAGUAGGGGUUCUGAGAGGAAGGUCCCCCACAUUGGAACUGAGACACGGUCCAAACUCCUACGGGAGGCAGCAGUGAGGAAUAUUGGUCAAUGGGCGAGAGCCUGAACCAGCCAAGUAGCGUGCAGGAAGACGGCCCUAUGGGUUGUAAACUGCUUUUAUGCGGGGAUAAAGUGAGGGACGUGUCUCUCAUUGCAGGUACCGCAUGAAUAAGGACCGGCUAAUUCCGUGCCAGCAGCCGCGGUAAUACGGAAGGUCCUGGCGUUAUCCGGAUUUAUUGGGUUUAAAGGGAGCGUAGGCCGUGGAUUAAGCGUGUUGUGAAAUGCAGGUGCUCAACGUCUGCACUGCAGCGCGAACUGGUCCACUUGAGUGUGCGCAACGCAGGCGGAAUUCGUCGUGUAGCGGUGAAAUGCUUAGAUAUGACGAAGAACUCCGAUUGCGAAGGCAGCUUGCGGGAGCACAACUGACGCUGAAGCUCGAAAGUGCGGGUAUCGAACAGG
RNAcentral lists this ribosomal RNA (760 nucleotides) under uncultured Prevotella sp. RNAcentral describes it as "bacterial SSU rRNA". It matches the Rfam family "Bacterial small subunit ribosomal RNA", at positions 28 to 776 of the family's 1533-position model. The record is from RNAcentral. Lineage: Bacteria; Pseudomonadati; Bacteroidota; Bacteroidia; Bacteroidales; Prevotellaceae.